UACGUAGGUGGCAAGCGUUGUCCGGAAUUAUUGGGCGUAAAGCGCGCGCAGGUGGUUUCUUAAGUCUGAUGUGAAAGCCCACGGCUCAACCGUGGAGGGUCAUUGGAAACUGGGGAACUUGAGUGCAGGAGAGAAGAGUGGAAUUCCACGUGUAGCGGUGAAAUGCGUUAGGAGAUGUGGAGGAACACCAGUGGCGAAGGCGACUCUUUGGCCUGUAACUGACACUGAGGCGCGAAAGCGUGGGGAGCAAACAGG
This 255-nucleotide ribosomal RNA is filed under the name uncultured bacterium. RNAcentral describes it as "partial 16S ribosomal RNA". It matches the Rfam family "Bacterial small subunit ribosomal RNA", at positions 524 to 776 of the family's 1533-position model. The record is from RNAcentral.